CCUACGGGUGGCAGCAGUGAGGAAUAUUGGUCAAUGGCCGGAAGUCUGAACCAGCCAUGCCGCGUGAAGGUCAGUGCCCUAUGGGCGUUAAACUUCUUUUGUGCGGGAGCAAUAAUGGUCACGUUUGGCCAUCCUAGAGUACGGUACGAAUCAGGCUCGGCUAACUCCGUGCCAGCAGCCGCGGUAAUACGGAGGAUCCGAGCGUUAUCCGGAUUCAUUGGGUUUAAAGGGUGCGUAGGUUGUUUUAUAAGUUAGCGGUGAAAUACCGAUGCUCAACAUCGGGGCUGCCGCUGAUACUGUAGGACUAGAGAGCGGAUGCAGCAGGCGGAAUGUGUAGUGUAGCGGUGAAAUGCAUAGAUAUUACACAGAACACCGAUUGCGAAGGCAGCUUGCUAGGCCGGAUCUGACACUGAUGCACGAAAGCGUGGGGAUCGAACAGGAUUAGAUACCCUUGUAGUC
This 459-nucleotide ribosomal RNA is filed under the name uncultured bacterium. Its description in RNAcentral is "partial 16S ribosomal RNA". It matches the Rfam family "Bacterial small subunit ribosomal RNA", at positions 338 to 795 of the family's 1533-position model. The record is from RNAcentral.